UACAGAGGGUGCGAGCGUUAAUCGGAAUUAUUGGGCGUAAAGAGCUCGUAGGCGGCUCGUUGCGUCGGCUGUGAAAACCCGCAGCUCAACUGUGGGCUUGCAGCUGAUACGGGCGGGCUGGAGUUCGGUAGGGGAGACUGGAAUUCCUGGUGUAGCGGUGAAAUGCGCAGAUAUCAGGAGGAACACCGGUGGCGAAGGCGGGUCUCUGGGCCGAUACUGACGCUGAGGAGCGAAAGCGUGGGGAGCGAACAGG
This 253-nucleotide ribosomal RNA is filed under the name uncultured bacterium. Its description in RNAcentral is "partial 16S ribosomal RNA". It matches the Rfam family "Bacterial small subunit ribosomal RNA", at positions 524 to 776 of the family's 1533-position model. The record is from RNAcentral.